GUGCCAGCAGCCGCGGUAAGACGAACCGUGCGAACGUUGUUCGGAAUCACUGGGCUUAAAGGGCGCGUAGGCGGAUCGACCAGUCUGUGGUGAAAUCCUUCAGCUUAACUGGAGAAGUGCCGUGGAUACUGUCGGUCUCGAGGAGGAUAGGGGCAUCUGGAACUGCCGGUGGAGCGGUGAAAUGCGUUGAUAUCGGCAGGAACUCCGGUGGCGAAGGCGAGAUGCUGGAUCCUUUCUGACGCUGAGGCGCGAAAGCCAGGGGAGCAAACGGGAUUAGAUACCCUUGUAGUCC
Molecule: ribosomal RNA, 292 nt
Filed under: uncultured bacterium
Lineage: Bacteria
Description: partial 16S ribosomal RNA
Rfam family: Bacterial small subunit ribosomal RNA
Source: RNAcentral